UGGGGAAUAUUGCACAAUGGGCGCAAGCCUGAUGCAGCAACGCCGCGUGCGGGAUGACGGCCUUCGGGUUGUAAACCGCUUUCAGUAGGGACGAAGGUAACCUGACGGUACCUACAGAAGAAGGACCGGCCAACUACGUGUCAGCAGCCGCGGUGAUACGUAGGGUCCGAGCGUUGUCCGGAAUUAUUGGGCGUAAAGGGCUUGUAGGCGGUCUGCUGCGUCGGAAGUGAAAACUCAGGGCUUAACCCUGAGCCUGCUUCCGAUACGGGCAGACUAGAGGGAUGCAGGGGAGAACGGAAUUCCUGGUGGAGCGGUGGAAUGCGCAGAUAUCAGGUGGAACACCGGUGGCGAAGGCGGUUCUCUGGGCAGAAACUGACGCUGAGACGCGAAAGCGUGGGGAGCAAACAG
Molecule: ribosomal RNA, 408 nt
Filed under: uncultured bacterium
Lineage: Bacteria
Description: bacterial SSU rRNA
Rfam family: Bacterial small subunit ribosomal RNA
Source: RNAcentral